GGAUGGGUGAGUAAUGCUUAGGAAACUGCCCAGUAGUGGGGGAUAGCCCGGGGAAACCCGGAUUAAUACCGCGUACGCCCUUCGGGGGAAAGCAGGGGCUCUUCGGACCUUGCGCUAUUGGAUGUGCCUAAGUCGGAUUAGCUAGUUGGUGGGGUAAAGGCCUACCAAGGCGACGAUCCGUAGCUGGUCUGAGAGGAUGAUCAGCCACAUCGGGACUGAGACACGGCCCGAACUCCUACGGGAGGCAGCAGUGGGGAAUAUUGGACAAUGGGGGCAACCCUGAUCCACCAUGCCGCGUGUGUGAAGAAGGCUUUCGGGUUGUAAAGCACUUUCAGUGAGGAGGAAGGCUGUAAGGUUAAUACCCUUGCAAAUUGACGUUACUCACAAAAGAACCACCGGG
RNAcentral lists this ribosomal RNA (400 nucleotides) under Marinobacter sp. Its description in RNAcentral is "bacterial SSU rRNA". It matches the Rfam family "Bacterial small subunit ribosomal RNA", at positions 100 to 497 of the family's 1533-position model. Lineage: Bacteria; Pseudomonadati; Pseudomonadota; Gammaproteobacteria; Pseudomonadales; Marinobacteraceae. The record is from RNAcentral.